CAGGCUUAACACAUGCAAGUCGAGGGGCAUCAGGAAGAAAGCUUGCUUUCUUUGCUGGCGACCGGCGCACGGGUGAGUAACACGUAUCCAACCUGCCCUUUACUCGGGGAUAGCCUUUCGAAAGAAAGAUUAAUACCCGAUGGCAUAAUGAUUCCGCAUGGUUUCAUUAUUAAAGGAUUCCGGUAAAGGAUGGGGAUGCGUUCCAUUAGGUUGUUGGUGAGGUAACGGCUCACCAAGCCUUCGAUGGAUAGGGGUUCUGAGAGGAAGGUCCCCCACAUUGGAACUGAGACACGGUCCAAACUCCUACGGGAGGCAGCAGUGAGGAAUAUUGGUCAAUGGGCGCUAGCCUGAACCAGCCAAGUAGCGUGAAGGAUGAAGGCUCUAUGGGUCGUAAACUUCUUUUAUAUAAGAAUAAAGUGCAGUAUGUAUACUGUUUUGUAUGUAUUAUAUGAAUAAGGAUCGGCUAACUCCGUGCCAGCAGCCGCGGUAAUACGGAGGAUCCGAGCGUUAUCCGGAUUUAUUGGGUUUAAAGGGAGCGUAGGUGGACUGGUAAGUCAGUUGUGAAAGUUUGCGGCUCAACCGUAAAAUUGCAGUUGAUACUGUCAGUCUUGAGUACAGUAGAGGUGGGCGGAAUUCGUGGUGUAGCGGUGAAAUGCUUAGAUAUCACGAAGAACUCCGAUUGCGAAGGCAGCUCACUGGACUGCAACUGACACUGAUGCUCGAAAGUGUGGGUAUCAAACAGGAUUAGAUACCCUGGUAGUCCACACAGUAAACGAUGAAUACUCGCUGUUUGCGAUAUACAGUAAGCGGCCAAGCGAAAGCAUUAAGUAUUCCACCUGGGGAGUACGCCGGCAACGGUGAAACUCAAAGGAAUUGACGGGGGCCCGCACAAGCGGAGGAACAUGUGGUUUAAUUCGAUGAUACGCGAGGAACCUUACCCGGGCUUAAAUUGCAGUGGAAUGAUGUGGAAACAUGUCAGUGAGCAAUCACCGCUGUGAAGGUGCUGCAUGGUUGUCGUCAGCUCGUGCCGUGAGGUGUCGGCUUAAGUGCCAUAACGAGCGCAACCCUUAUCUUUAGUUACUAACAGGUUAUGCUGAGGACUCUAGAGAGACUGCCGUCGUAAGAUGUGAGGAAGGUGGGGAUGACGUCAAAUCAGCACGGCCCUUACGUCCGGGGCUACACACGUGUUACAAUGGGGGGUACAGAAGGCAGCUAGCGGGUGACCGUAUGCUAAUCCCAAAAGCCUCUCUCAGUUCGGAUCGAAGUCUGCAACCCGACUUCGUGAAGCUGGAUUCGCUAGUAAUCGCGCAUCAGCCACGGCGCGGUGAAGACGUUCCCGGGCCUUGUACACACCGCCCGUCAAGCCAUGGGAGCCGGGGGUACCUGAAGUACGUAACCGCAAGGAUCGUCCUAGGGUAAAACUGGUGACUGGGGC
RNAcentral lists this ribosomal RNA (1435 nucleotides) under uncultured organism. Its description in RNAcentral is "16S ribosomal RNA". It matches the Rfam family "Bacterial small subunit ribosomal RNA". The record is from RNAcentral.